UACAGAGGGGGCAAGCGUUAUUCGGAAUUAUUGGGCGUAAAGGGCGCGUAGGCGGCCUGGCAAGUGGAAGGUGAAAUCCCUCGGCUUAACCGAGGAACUGCCCUCCAAACUGCUUGGCUUGAGUCCGGGAGAGGUGAGUGGAAUUCCCAGUGUAGCGGUGAAAUGCGCAGAUAUCAGGAAGAACACCCGUGGCGAAAGCGGCUCUCUGGAACGGUACUGACGCUGAGACGCGAAAGCGUGGGGAGCGAACAGG
This 253-nucleotide ribosomal RNA is filed under the name uncultured bacterium. Its description in RNAcentral is "partial 16S ribosomal RNA". It matches the Rfam family "Bacterial small subunit ribosomal RNA", at positions 524 to 776 of the family's 1533-position model. The record is from RNAcentral.